This 74-nucleotide transfer RNA is filed under the name Pseudoalteromonas sp. RNAcentral describes it as "tRNA-Glu". It matches the Rfam family "tRNA". Rfam says of the family: Transfer RNA (tRNA) molecules are approximately 80 nucleotides in length. Lineage: Bacteria; Pseudomonadati; Pseudomonadota; Gammaproteobacteria; Alteromonadales; Pseudoalteromonadaceae. The record is from RNAcentral.
CCCCAUCGUCUAGAGGCCUAGGACACCGCCCUUUCACGGCGGUAACAGGGGUUCGAAUCCCCUUGGGGACGCCA